This is a long non-coding RNA of Canis lupus familiaris (dog), 1687 nucleotides long. RefSeq lists it as uncharacterized. Lineage: Eukaryota; Metazoa; Chordata; Mammalia; Carnivora; Canidae. The transcript is spliced from 3 exons. The record is from RefSeq and is a predicted model, not a curated record.
GAUUUAUCUCUGGGAGAAGGAGCCAUUUGUUUUUAAUAACCUCUUAGUAACAUGUAACGGUUUUAGCAAAGUAUAAAAUUAUAAUUUUUAACAAACCAUGUGGGUUGUAGCAAUAGGCAUCCCAUCUUUCACUCCUAUUAAGACGGACUCCAUAAUCAAUAAUACCAGUUUUUCCAAAUCCACAGUUGGGCCCCGGUUUCACAAUGGGGUAUCCAACUCUGCCCUUGGCCAUCCACCCAGCAGCGCAGACGUGAAAUCCUGCAAGAGAAGGAAAGGAUUAUGGACUAACCAGUAAACCCCUCAGCUGAGUGAAGGUCAUCUUAACAAAAGUGGCCCCUUCUCAACUGCCCAAAGCCAGUGACUUGGAAUCCUUUGAAAAUGCCAACUUUCUGGACUUGCCUGGUCUGAAGUUAGCCUGGAAUCCCCUAGGUGUCUUUGCACUGAACAUUGAAGGCUUGCUCUCAUCUCUCCUGGAAAGAGCAGUUGUGAGGACGCAAAAUUCACUGGAUGCUCGCUGAGGAAGAAGUGAGCUUAUAUGGGUACUAAAGCAAAGGAUAAUUUCGGAAGACUGGGGGUCUAUGGACGUUCAGAUGCAAAUAUUAAGACAAGGACAAAGAAGAAGAGGAGGAGAGAAGAACAAGGAGGUGGAGGUAAAAUUUUAUUUACUUAACAUCCUUCUCCUCAUCCUACCUCCUUACAAAACGCAGUUCCCCAAAUCUGCCUAUGAUCUGCCUUCCAAGGUUAUUUACAGGUGUUCCCCUAUAUGCAUUUAUUCCAGUCAAACUGCUCCCUAUGCCUGAUAAGACCUGGAAACUCUACCUCCUUCUCCCCAUCCCGUUGUCUCCCCUGACUCAGUGAGACGACCACAGAACUCAUUGUUGGAAACUCAGAGACCACCUGGUUGGCAUUUUACCAGUGUUGUGAAUCCUUGCUAUGCUGUCCCCCUUGUGUUGACCUGAAAUCUUUCAGGUAAGUGAAAGAUUCACUGCACUUAGGUGAGUGCAGCCUUCUUCAAAGAGAAGGAUCUGUAUCAUCAGGGACAGCUUCACUUUUGAAGGAGGAAUCAUUUCCUCCUCCUCUGCCUUUAUGUUCUGUUCCGUUGCUAUGGGCAAGAUCUUUGUGUCUCCUUCCACUCAUCAUCCCUUCUUUUAGUACAACAGGUGGGGCUAAAGGAAGGAGAGGAAUCCAGCAUGUCUCCCAGAUGUCCUUUCACCACAGUUACCAAGCAUCACUAGUGAGAGAAGUCCAAGACUUCCUCCUUGAUUCCUCUCUUGCUCCACUUCCAUGUGGCAGAGAUUGUUAGAUGAUAACCACACCAGGUUCCCUUUCUAUCUGGGCACAGUCAUAGGCUACAUUUCUCUGCCCCCCUCGGCGGGUAAGGUGCAUGGAGUAGAUGGCUAAGUUCUACUUAACAGAGUGUGGGUUAAUUUGAUGUAUACUAGUUUCAGACCAGACCCGUAGGAAUUUCCAGCAAGUAGUCACUCAUUUGCAUCUGAUGACUAAAUGAGGACUUCCAUGGCCCUACCUGAAAGUAUAGUUGGAAGGUAGAAGAGCCCAAUGCUCUGUGUGACCAGAUAGAGAGAAGUGCUCCAGUCAGGAGUAUCAAGCACAAGUUUACUGUGUCAAGCUAUAGAGAUUGGGAUGUACUUGUUAUCUUAAUCAAUAUAAUACCAUCAUAUUGUAUUAG